RNAcentral lists this ribosomal RNA (406 nucleotides) under uncultured bacterium. Its description in RNAcentral is "bacterial SSU rRNA". It matches the Rfam family "Bacterial small subunit ribosomal RNA", at positions 370 to 772 of the family's 1533-position model. The record is from RNAcentral.
AAUGGGCGGAAGCCUGAUCCAGCCAUGCCGCGUGAAGGACGAAGGCGCUCAGCGUUGUAAACUUCUUUUGGAUGGGGACAAUAACCCCGACUUGUCGGGGCUUGAGGGUACCAUCAGAAUAAGCACCGGCUAACUCCGUGCCAGCAGCCGCGGUAAUACGGAGGGUGCAAGCGUUAUCCGGAAUCACUGGGUUUAAAGGGUGCGUAGGCGGCCCGAUAAGUCAGUCGUGAAAUCGCUGGGCUCAACCCAUGCAAUUGCGAUUGAUACUGUCGGGCUUGAAUGGGGUUGAGGCUGGCGGAAUGCGGCAUGUAGCGGUGAAAUGCUUAGAUAUGCCGCAGAACACCGAUUGCGAAGGCAGCCAGCUGGGCCUUUAUUGACGCUGAGGCACGAAAGCGUGGGGAGCAAA